Molecule: non-coding RNA, 116 nt
Organism: Heterorhabditis bacteriophora
Lineage: Eukaryota; Metazoa; Nematoda; Chromadorea; Rhabditida; Heterorhabditidae
Source: Rfam
UUUACAGUUAUGGCGACCUAGUACCUCUGAGUCCACAAGGGAAGAUCGUCGGAUCUAUGUGUGCUUUAAUUGGAGUGCUUACACUGGCCUUACCUGUACCUAUUAUUGUAUGUCAA